RNAcentral lists this transfer RNA (75 nucleotides) under Campylobacterota bacterium. Its description in RNAcentral is "tRNA-Thr". It matches the Rfam family "tRNA". Rfam says of the family: Transfer RNA (tRNA) molecules are approximately 80 nucleotides in length. Their secondary structure includes four short double-helical elements and three loops (D, anti-codon, and T loops). Further hydrogen bonds mediate the characteristic L-shaped molecular structure. tRNAs have two regions of fundamental functional importance: the anti-codon, which is responsible for specific mRNA codon recognition, and the 3' end, to which the tRNAs corresponding amino acid is attached (by aminoacyl-tRNA synthetases). tRNAs cope with the degeneracy of the genetic code in two manners: having more than one tRNA (with a specific anti-codon) for a particular amino acid; and 'wobble' base-pairing, i.e. permitting non-standard base-pairing at the 3rd anti-codon position. Lineage: Bacteria; Pseudomonadati; Campylobacterota. The record is from RNAcentral.
GCCAAUGUAGCUCAGCGGUAGAGCACUCGCUUCGUAAGCGAGCGGUCGGGGGUUCGAUUCCCCCCAUUGGCUCCA